CUCCAAGGCUAAAUACUCCUGACUGACCGAUAGUGAACCAGUACCGUGAGGGAAAGGCGAAAAGAACCCCGGCGAGGGGAGUGAAAAAGAACCUGAAACCGUGUACGUACAAGCAGUGGGAGCACGCUUAGGCGUGUGACUGCGUACCUUUUGUAUAAUGGGUCAGCGACUUAUAUUCUGUAGCAAGGUUAACCGAAUAGGGGAGCCGAAGGGAAACCGAGUCUUAACUGGGCGUUAAGUUGCAGGGUAUAGACCCGAAACCCGGUGAUCUAGCCAUGGGCAGGUUGAAGGUUGGGUAACACUAACUGGAGGACCGAACCGACUAAUGUUGAAAAAUUAGCGGAUGACUUGUGGCUGGGGGUGAAAGGCCAAUCAAACCGGGAGAUAGCUGGUUCUCCCCGAAAGCUAUUUAGGUAGCGCCUCGUGAAUUCAUCUCCGGGGGUAGAGCACUGUUUCGGCAAGGGGGUCAUCCCGACUUACCAACCCGAUGCAAACUGCGAAUACCGGAGAAUGUUAUCACGGGAGACACACGGCGGGUGCUAACGUCCGUCGUGAAGAGGGAAACAACCCAGACCGCCAGCUAAGGUCCCAAAGUCAUGGUUAAGUGGGAAACGAUGUGGGAAGGCCCAGACAGCCAGGAUGUUGGCUUAGAAGCAGCCAUCAUUUAAAGAAAGCGUAAUAGCUCACUGGUCGAGUCGGCCUGCGCGGAAGAUGUAACGGGGCUAAACCAUGCACCGAAGCUGCGGCAGCGACGCUUAUGCGUUGUUGGGUA
RNAcentral lists this ribosomal RNA (772 nucleotides) under Escherichia coli. RNAcentral's name for it is "partial 23S ribosomal RNA". It matches the Rfam family "Bacterial large subunit ribosomal RNA", at positions 458 to 1230 of the family's 2925-position model. The record is from RNAcentral. Lineage: Bacteria; Pseudomonadati; Pseudomonadota; Gammaproteobacteria; Enterobacterales; Enterobacteriaceae.